Chenopodium quinoa (quinoa) is the source of this 862-nucleotide RNA transcript. It is a transcript of the gene named monodehydroascorbate reductase 2-like, with no coding region annotated. Lineage: Eukaryota; Viridiplantae; Streptophyta; Magnoliopsida; Caryophyllales; Amaranthaceae. The transcript has 5 exons. The record is from RefSeq and is a predicted model, not a curated record.
CAACAAAGAUGCAGCAGCAAACCAAGCUUGGAUGGGGCAAAGUAGAUGAAGAUAAGAGAAGAGAGAAAUAGGGAGACGAUUAAUGCUCAUCUUCUACCUCUUCUGGUACGCUGCCAUCGCCGUUCAACUCACCAUCUCAUGACUCAAUCGGUUUCUCGUGAAAUCGCUUAGAAAUGCUUCUUGGGAGCUUGGUAUUUAGAAAUUGCAUAUCCGAAGAUGAAUGACACCGAUGUCCAGAAGCAUAUCCAAUAGAUGGUUAGAUUCAUCCGCCAAGAAGCGAAGGAAAAGGCUAACAAGAUCUCUGUUGCCGCCAAAGAAGGGCAUACUGCUAGAAAGGUUUUGAAGCAUGGUCUUCAACCAGGGGAACUAGCCCUCAUUUCUAAAGAAACGGUGGCUCCUUAUGAAUGCGCUGCUCUCAGCAAGGCUUACCUCUUUCCAAAAGGUGAGUAGAUAAAUUCAGUAUAUAACAAUUUUAUAAUAAUUUCAACUAUAUGUUAUUUUUGCUGAUAAGUCAGUCCAGUUUAAGUUAUUGCUCGAGUUGAAGCUCUAUCUAUUGACUAUCGGUGUUAAUCUUGGAUAAUGCACUUUCACUAGAUCAUAAGGUAUCCACAUUGACACUUUGAUGCAUCUAUUAAGCAAUUGCUGAUUUUUCACUACCUAGCACUAGCUAAGUUUGAUUAAUGGAUUUACUUUGUUAUAUGACUGUUGUCACAAAUUUUCUGGAUAUGCUAUUGACAAUGUGAAUUGGGUUUUACAAGUACUGCUACACUUCCUUGGUUCCAUACAUGUGUUAAAAGUGGAGGGGAGCGACUUCUUCCUAAGUGGUAUACUGAAAAAGGUGUUAGUGUAUCAUGAUCUUCUG